UGGGCUUUAUGGCAGAGUUGCCAAAAGAAAGCCAUUACUUUGGCAUGUUUUGAGUUUGCGAAAAGGCAUGUGGGAGACUCCCAAAAUGUAUGGAGGAAGGUGUUCUGGUCUGAUGAGACUAAAAUUGAACUUUUCGACCAUCAAAAAAAACGCUAUGUCUGGUGCAAACCCAACACAUCACAUCACCUAAAGAACACCAUCCCCAGCAUCAUGCUGUGGGGAUGUUUUUCAGCAGCCAGGUCUGGGAAACUGCUCAGAGUUGAGGGAAAGAUGGGUGGUGCUAAAUACAGGCAUAUUCUUCAGCAAAAUCUGUACCAAAUGACCAUAAACACACUGCUAAAGCAACACUUGAGGGGUUUAAGGGGAACAAUGUAACCAUGUUUUGGAAUGGCCUAGUCAAAGCCCAGACCUCAAUCCAAUAGAAAAUCUGUGGACACACAGAUUGCUGUUCACAAGCGCAAACCAUCCAACUUGAAGGAGCUGGAGCAGUUUUGCAAGGAGGAAUGGGCAAAAAUCCCAGUGGUAAGAUAUGACAAGCUCAUAGAGACUUAUCCAAAGCGACUUGGAGCUGUGCCACAAAAGGUGGCUACAAAGUAUUGAUUUAGGGGGGUGAAUAGUUAUGCACAUUGACUUAUUCUGUUAUUUUGUCCUAUUUGUUGUUUGCUUCACAAUAAAAAAUCUUCAAUGUUGUGGGCAUGUUCUGUAAAUUAAAUGA
This is a non-coding RNA of Pelobates cultripes (western spadefoot toad), 715 nucleotides long. NCBI's taxonomy places the organism in Eukaryota, Metazoa, Chordata, Amphibia, Anura, Pelobatidae. The record is from the annotation of a GenBank genome assembly.